GCACAAGCGGUGGAGCAUGUUGUUUAAUACGUCACUAACCGUAGAACCUUACCAGGUCUUGACAUCUUCGGAACCCGGCUGAAAGGCCGGGGUGCCCUUCGGGGAGCCGAAAGACAGGUAUUGCAUGGCUGUCGUCAGCUCGUGUCGUGAGAUGUUGGGUUAAGUCCCGCAACGAGCGCAACCCUCAUCCUGUGUUGCUACCGGGUCAAGCCGGGCACUCUCAGGAAACUGCCCGUGCAAGCGGGAGGAAGGUGGGGAUGACGUCAAGUCAGCAUGGCCCUUACGACCUGGGCUACAAACAUGCUACAAUGGCGCGUACAGAGGGCAGCGAUACCGCGAGGUGGAGCCAAUCCCAAAAAGCGCGUCCCAGUUCGGAUCGGAGUCUGCAACUCGACUCCGUGAAGUCGGAAUCGCUAGUAACCGCAGGUCGGCGAUACUGCGGUGAAUACGUUCCCGGGCCUUGUACACACCGCCCGUCACGUCACCUGAGUCUGUUGCACCCGAAGCGCCUGGCCCAACCGCAAGGGGGGAGGGUGUGAAGGUGUGGCCGGUAAGGGGGACG
RNAcentral lists this ribosomal RNA (562 nucleotides) under uncultured bacterium. RNAcentral's name for it is "bacterial SSU rRNA". It matches the Rfam family "Bacterial small subunit ribosomal RNA", at positions 923 to 1482 of the family's 1533-position model. The record is from RNAcentral.